Long non-coding RNA from Coturnix japonica (Japanese quail), 816 nucleotides. RefSeq lists it as uncharacterized. The record is from RefSeq and is a predicted model, not a curated record. Lineage: Eukaryota; Metazoa; Chordata; Aves; Galliformes; Phasianidae.
GACUCUAUUGAGACGGACACAAACAUAGCCUUAGUCUACAGCAAACUUGUGAUUCAUCAGCCAAAUUACGUGCCAUCAUUAAUGGCCUGCAAAAGGGGUCAUCAAUAAUUUUUCAUUGUAAUGUACUCAGUGGUGGAGAAGUUUAUUAAAACCUCCAUGAAAGGCUGGCUAAUGUUUACAUCAGAAGAAGCCACAACACAUGUUAUUAAUGAAUAAGUGGAACAAUAUCAGGCACCAUCUCAAGAUUGGUUACUAGAACAAGGCUGUAGGAACCCAGCUAGGGGGCUGGAGCUUUCCACUGAAAGAAAACAAAAUUAGUCAUUGCAUACUAGGAUCAAUGUUGCAAUGAUGCACAGACAAUGCAAAGAGCUCCUUAAAUGUCUCUUCAAAUGAGAUGCCUCCUGCACAGCCUGCAACUUGCAGCAGCCAGCACUGGACCACCCAAUGAGGAGACUAACACAGAUAAAGCAGAAGCUCAGAUGAUGCAAGGCAAGGCGGGUUGGGCAAUAGAAGCAUGAUUGCCAGUUGGCAAGGGAAAGCAAGAAGACUUCACUGAUGAUAGUGCAACAUGACCUCUGAACAGUGGCCCAGCCUGGGGUGGGAAGUCCUGAUGGUGUAGUGCUCUGUGCAUGCACCCAAUACAAGCUGGCAUGCUGUUGGUCACUCUGCAUCUGGUGAGUCCUCAGCUGAGCUGUUUUCCUGCCAUCAGUAGAGGACUGACUCUGCCAAAGACAUUUUCCCUGCUUGGAGACCUGUCCCCACACCCAGCUUUUGGUAAGGGUCUUCCAACAAGGAAUUAAAUGCAGUGUCAGGGUC